GUCGACCUGAACGGUUGUCCGUUCAAGUUAAACGUUGUCGUCAACUGCAUGCAUUACAUUCGUGGGAAAAAAGAAAUUAGCAAAGGUCUGAAGGCCAUCCGUUUCGUCACAUCCCAAAACGUCUCACACUGAACACGUGGAUUAAAAGCAAUGGCGACUGUUCUCACCCAUUCCCAAGGAGGCUUAGAAAUCGUAGUUGGAAAGGCAUGUUGGAUUUUACGGUGAAUUCGAAUUCUUGUAGCAAAAUGGCGCUACUGCCUCAAAGAGAUUCUCAUCUCCCUCAAUGCUGAAGGAAGCAAAAACUUGACGAUCUCCUUUGCCCGUUCAUGUCUCAAGGACAAUCUCGCAUCCAUGGUCUACAAAACAGCUUACGUAGCAUGCGUUGCCAUUCAACCUGAUACACUUUCUCGGAAAUGCAGCAAGGAGGGCACACUGGAUUUUCUCGAGUGUUCAUCGAAAAAUUCUCCGCAGUGAAAUGAGUUGAUCAAUAGAACUCUUCAAGGAGUUUCAAUAUCCGAGCUGUUUUAUCGGUGACCUUUCUUCUUGCCAAGGAGACUUACGACUACAGCUCGAAGGAAAUUGUUUGACUUCACAAUAGCUUCAAAGAUGUAAGAUGGGAAGGUGGCAUAUGCACAUUGCAUCAAUUCUGCCAUGUGGCGAUGCUGCAAUGGGCGGGAAACCAGAGUUACUCUGAGGUCGGAGCAAAUUCUUCCAUACCCUACAAAACUCAAGUUUUCAGUUGAGUCAGUUCUAGACUGUUGAAUGUCUUCCUAGAUGUGCAUGAUUUACAGCUGGCAUCUCAUGGCAAUAUUUUCAUCUUAGGAGGCAGAAUAUUUCUCAGCCCAAUUGCUCGGUGCUGUUCUGUUGAGAAGCUGCUGAGCUGUCAUGUCAAUGAGAUAACCAGCGAGUGCAUGGCAACUGAAGUGGAAGAACUCUGCAAGUGCUAGGCAAUACUUUAGGUUGUUACCUUUGUGUUAGACUUCCAACAUGGAAAAUGGAAGACUAGUGGCCUCACCCACCGUCAUAAGAAUAGCUGUGCUCAUCGAUCAACUCGUUAUGAAUGCAGCAAUUCUUCAUGCUCCAACUUGAAAUGUUCAUGUUCGAUGGAUUUAGUCGUUUACGAAAAAGUGGAGCUGAAUUUUGAUAUUACAUGGGGAUCGUCUCUAGCUGUCUGCAGAAUUAUUGGAAGAGCGAUAAAAGAAAAGAGCUUCAGUCCAAAUCAGCCGCGAGUGCAUAGUGGUUUCGCGGUUUAUGGUGCUAUCAUCAUAUCAAUAGAACCCGAAAUGCUGAGGGAGGAACUCUUUUCAAAUCUUAAUACAUUGGAGGAACGCUGGUGCUGUCGUCAAAAC
Molecule: long non-coding RNA, 1349 nt
Organism: Daphnia carinata
Lineage: Eukaryota; Metazoa; Arthropoda; Branchiopoda; Diplostraca; Daphniidae
Exons: 9
Source: RefSeq, a predicted model, not a curated record